Oryctolagus cuniculus (rabbit) is the source of this 15038-nucleotide non-coding RNA. The record is from RefSeq and is a predicted model, not a curated record. NCBI's taxonomy places the organism in Eukaryota, Metazoa, Chordata, Mammalia, Lagomorpha, Leporidae.
CGCCCCUCGGCCCGGGCCGCGGCCGUGCUGCCGCCCUCUCGCGUCCCUCGGCGGGACGGGGCCCGAGGGGCCGCGCGCGGGCCUGGACGCCGGGACGGGGUGGCCGCCCGCCACAGCCGUUUAAAGAGCCUCAGAAUAUUCGCCUAAUUAUCUGUUUAAUUGAUGAGUUUGUAUAAAUGCGGGGAUUAGUGAAUUUGAUCACAAAGCUGUUGUCUCUAACGACCAUCACGGACGCUGCUGGAGCUUUCAAAGGUUUGGACGCUGAUUUGCUCAUUUGAUCUCUGAAGUGAAAGAUGUGAGUCUCCCCUCCUCAGCUGGCUUGGGUAGCUAGCGCUGGGGUCCUGUGGUGGGUGCCGGGUCUGUGUCCUGUAUCUCACUUAAUGUUAGUGCACACCGAUGGCUUCGCUUGUGCUGUUACCCCACUUCACGUCGUGGAAAACGCGAGCCUGCAGCUGAGGAGUCCUGGCGGACUCGGAACCUUUCCGCGGACCCCAUCCAGUAGAUCGGGUUGAACCGUAUGACCACGUGCCCCCGUCUUCGACCCACAGAGGCUGCAGUUGCAUUUGGCUUAACCACUGGCGGUGAUCCGACUGAACCGGGUGGAACAAGCGUGAUGGGCAGCGUUCGUUGCCCGUGUGGAGUCCGUUCGGGCUGCAGCAGUUGAUGGUGGCUCUGUGUAUCACCUUUUCGGAUAUACAUAGGUCGGUCGCUUCUCUCUCACGUGGUUUCCCUGUGCAGAAGAGAGCCCGGAGUUCACAGAUCCCGACCCCUGCUUGCUGCUGACCUGCCGACCUCCCAGUCCUGCUCUGCCCUUCCCACUGGGCUCUAGCCCCCAGAGCCCCUCCUGAUCCUUGAACUCGCCAAGCGAGCUUCCCCACCAGGCCUCCAGACUUGUCGUUUGCUCUCCCAAGGAUGCCCUUUCUCCUCCAUCUGCCAGCUGGGCUCCCUGACUUUGUCUGGUCUCCCCAGAGAAAGCCUCCCUUAAUACCUUGGAUGAAACCGUGCAUGGAGUGCACAGGCACACACACACUUCCCCUCCUUUUACUUUUCACAGCAUUGGUUUCCACCUGCCAUAUAUGACUAGUUCAGUUUGUUUGCCACCUGGCGCUACACCGUGAGCUCCAUGAGAGCAAGGACUUUACUCUCUUCUGUUUGGAAUUCCCAACACCUCAAAAGCACAUGGUCAACAUAAGUACUCAGUAAAUAGCUAUUCAGAAAGAACUAAGCACUUGUACCAGAAACCAGGAAACCCUUACCUGUGUCGUUCCUGCAAUCCUUGCAGCAAACACUGGAGGUGGGCGGAUGAUGCUAAGGAGCAGCCGGUCCCUGGCCACCUCAGGACCCACCGCAGAGGGCAGUGGCUCUCAGUGGAGGUACCUGCCCCAUCCCAGACACCCUCGGUGCCUCUCCUUUGUCCUCCCCUAUGCUCCUGCCUCAAGCAUUUUAGAUACACACAGAGAGUACUUCAAACAAAAAGUUCCUCAAAAACACUUGUUAGGAAAAAAAAUGGAUUUCAAAAGGUUUUGAAAUUUUGAUUCCAUUUUUCCAUAAGCUUUUCAAAGAACCCUUAUAUUACAGCAGUAAUUAUCCAAUAUGCACAAGAUUCGGCAAGGAAUACAAAAGCUCUUGGGAUACACGUCUUCCCUUCAAGAAACUUAAAAAUUUUGAAUUAAUGUGCAAAGCCUCAAUUAUCAAAAAAUUAUCAUAAUACAAUAUUCACAAUGUUACAAUAUACACUAGUUAUAGCGUGUCCUGUUGAAGGGCCAUGUAAUAGCUUUCUUGCACUGUGAGAAAUUAUGUCAUCUAAUCUGUUGGCCCUAAAAAUGAUCAGUAAUUAACCAUGAGUGGAAAUCUCUUUUCUAUUCUCUUACAUUUGAUAGGUUCUAUUUGCUUUUUGCUGUUCUUGACAUUUAAAAGGGAAAAUUUACAAUAUUUGAACACUUCUCUGUCUUCAUCACUGAGAAGUUCUCGCAGGAGCUAAAGUGUUUCUUGGACUUAAAGAUCCCCUGUUUGAUGACUUUUUGUCAGUGUUCUUCUUAGAAAUCUUUUUUUGUUUUUUUUUUGUUUUUUGUUUUUUGUUUUUGACAGGCAGAGUGGACAGUGAGAGAGAGAGACAGAGAAAGGUCUUCCUUUGCCGUUGGUUCACCCUCCAAUGGCUGCCGCGGCCAGUGCGCUGCAGCCAGCGCGCCGCGCCGAUCCGAUGGCAGGAGCCAGGUGCCUCUCCUGGUCUCCCAUGGGGUGCAGGGCCCAAGUACUUGGGCCAUCCUCCACUGCACUCCCUGGCCACUGCAGAGAGCUGGAAGAGGGGCAACCGGGACAGAAUCCGGCGCCCCGACCAGGACUAGAACCCGGUGUGCCAGCGCCGCAAGGCGGAGGAUUAGCCUAGUGAGCCGUUUACUUAUUUGAAAGGCAGAGUUACAGAGAGGCAGAGGCCGAGAGAGCGAGGUCUUCCAUCCGAUGGUUCACUCCCCAAUUGGCCACUCCCCAAACAGCCACAACAGCUGGAGCUGGAGGGAUCCAAAGCCAGGAACUUCUUCUGAGUCUCCCACAUGGGUGCAGGCGGCCUGCCUUUUUAGAAAUCUUAAUCCUUUAGUUUUCCUCAAAGGGAAGAGGAAAGUUUUUGAUAUGUCUGUAGUUGUUUAUUGUCCUAAUAGAUGUCUUGGGUAUCAUUUUAAAUUGUGCAAUAUAUAGGAGGUGCUAUUUGAAAGACUGCAAAUGGCAGGUUUUAAGUGUGAAUAUGGUAAUCAAACCUUCUGAAUACCUGUUGUUGAAUAUCGUUAACCCAGAGGUGGUUAACUCUCAGACUAAGCUGGGAGUUUAAUGCCACCAUCUUUUGAAGUUACCUGGUAACUGCCAAGUGCAGAGCAGACACAGUGCUGUCGCAGGGUCGCUGAGCACUGCCCUUUCUUCUGGAAAGCCUACACAGCUGCACGAGGGCACAGGGUUUGACCCGUGGCUAAGGGAAGGCUCCAAGUGCACGGGGAAGGCACGAACAAGAACUUGGAGAGGAGGAAAGUGCCAGGGUGUAGGAUAGGCGUUUCCAUGGAGAGUAGUGGGUGCCAGGUCCUGGUUGGCCUGCAGUGCCAAGCCUAAGUGUUUGUCCAUGAAGGGACUUGGGCACUGUUUUAACUACAAGGAAAUGAAUCAAUCAACUGCAGGCAUAUUUAUCUCUCAGUACAAAUUCAGCGUUUGUGAGAUUCCCCACAGCCGUUCCCAUGUUAAUUUUCCUGCCUUUUCAAACCACUAGCAGGGCAGUUCCAGAUGUAGUACCAACGUUCAGCUGAAACCACUGCACUGCACAGUGGUUAAAUGUUAACUGACGGUGUAAGGUUUCUACUCAUUUGACCCUAAGUGAAACUCUAGAGGUAAAAACAGUCUCUGCCAGGAUUCAGGCCCUUGAGCCAUGCAAUGCAAGCUGCUUCGUUCCAUAUUGAAACAGAAACCUCAACUAAAAGUGUCCAUUAAUUAUAGGAAUAUGAGAGUGAAUUAAAAAUGCAUUUUGUUUUGAUCAACUUUCAGACCGACCCCUGGCUUUAGGACUGCAAAAUGAUGUCAGCAGCGUGCCCCUGAACUGCGCUGAAUGGCCUUCUUCCUUCAGGAUCCAAAUCAUUCAGGAUGAAUCUGUGAUUAUAUUUUAAUGUAUUAAACAGAUUCGGUGUAAUUCAUGGUCUGUGAGUUAGUUUUAAACAGCUAGCAUGGGUAAACAUUGUAUGAGCAGAGGAAGUAACUGCUCGUGUCCCAGAUAUUUGAUGAAAUGCCAUUGUCCUUUACUACAAUGUGACUUACAGACUGACUGUAACUUUCCAGUAAUUUCUGCGGAUCUGUGCCGUCUAAAAUGAGCUCCCAAGGGGACUGAGGAGAGACCAAAAAGAAGACUGGCAUUUUAUAAGAGCCCCAACGAAGGGUCAGGCCCUUAGUAACUGAGUGCCCAAAGACUCUAGGUUAAUAAUUAUCCCAAUUUUACAGUUGAAUAAGCCAAGCCCCAGAGGGUUAACUAAAGAACCUGACUUUUGUCACACAGGUAGUAGAUGCUGAGGACAGAAUUCAAUCCAGACCUUCAAACUGCUCCAGAAGGCAUGCCCUAUAUCUACAGUGUGAGCCGGGGAUUAAGUACUAGCGAGACACUGCAAGCUCAAACCGUGACAGCCAGUGCUGGUGCCAUUUCUCUGUGCAGGGGUCCAUACUUCAUCUCUGCUGCCUUAGCGACAUCAUUCUCAUUAGCACAGGAAGUAAAGUGAUGCCUGAGGAAGAAGAGAGCAAAAGGAAAAAAAUUUAACUCGCUCCCCAAAAUCACCGCUAGAAAGUGACCGUGAGAGCAGCUUUGGAUUUCAAGUUUGGAGCACAACCACUUCCUCGCAUUUUCCAGCCCCCGGUGUUUGUGGGCUCCAGGCCACCUCCACGUCCUAGAGUUCCAGGUGGCUCCAGGCAGCUGGAGAGCGCCGUUCAGAUUCCCAGCCCGCUUUGAAAUCUUUCGCCAAGACCCAAACUGCUGAAGAAAAAAAUCCGGGUUUCUGACUGUUUCGAAAGCAUUUCAGACUAAAAGCAUCCUUGAGUCUGCCAUCCAUUUUCAAUUGGAAUUUGAUUGGAAUCACGGGUGAAUUUCAGAAAACUAGCACAUGUUGUCAUUCACUGGCUCUUUUCCCCCUUAUUCAGGUGUCAAAAGGAGGCCCCGAGGUGGGGCAAAGAUCUUCACGGCAAUUAAAGCUCUCAGUAUGUCUUCCGAGGACAUUUCCUCAGAGGGAGAUUUUAGGGUAAGGGAACGGCUUCCCCCAGCACUAACACGGAGUUCUGUUGCAGGGGAUCCUCCUUGGGACCGAGAGUCAAGUUCCAGGGGGAUCAGCCCCUGAUGCAGCCCCCCUCCCGGCCCCACCUGCGGGCUCCCUCUGGCCAGGCCCCAGCUCCCAGGUGAGCGAACUGCUUCUCUGUACCAGCCUCUUCUCCCAGGACCCACUGCCCAGAGGGACAAGGCUUCCCUGCCUCUCCCUGACCCUGCUGCCUGCAAAACAAACACAAAUUAGGAAAAGGGCAAAGGAGUUUUAGUUGAAAAAUCACCAGCGUUGGGAACAUUACAAGUUGCUGAAGAAUCUCAGAAAACUACCAGCAGUGGUCCCCGGAGCCUGACUUCAUGUAGUUUCAGCCAAGACCUGAGCCAAGCGUGUCCACUGUUUCCCAGACAUGCGCAUCAGUAUUUUGUGGAGUCAGAGGUCCCGGCCCUUUCUUCCUUGCCGGCUGCUGCCAGCUCCUGGGGGCCCAGGCCCAGUUGCCGACCCUUCAGGGAAAGGCUCCUUCCCUUCGGCCCUCCACAGCUUCUCCAGGCUUCGGGGUCCUGCUUUCUGGCCUUGUUUGCUACCUGGUUGGGGUAAUGGGGCUCUGUCUUUGCUCUUCCCCCAGCACCCCAGACUUCUCUGGGCUGUUGUUCAUGGGUCUACUUUUGCCUCCUUUGCUCCUCCUUGCUGUCUCCAUGCCCCCAGCACGGAGCAGGAUGUAGGAGUGUUGGUCACCGACUCAAAGUUGCCCCAAAGAGGCCAUACAGCAAAGUGAGGAAAAGCUCCAUGUGCUGUGCGGCCUCGCUCAGGCCGCUUGACCUCCACGAUGCUCGGUCUCCUCGGCUGCAAAAGCACCCACUGCUAAGAGGACUCACGCUCUUACGGUGAGGAUGAUACGAGGCAAUGAUGACCAGCCCUCAGCCUGCGUCUGCAAUACAGCGAUCACCCAAGAAAACAUUUGCCAUCAUUCUCGUGCUCAUUAGCACCCAGCACUAUUUUCAGACUGCCUCCUCUUAUUACGCAACGCUCGACCUCAGGGAUGCAAAGAAAUUCGUUCUGGAUUCAAGACACACGUAGCUUGGCUCUGCUCAUCUGCAUUCGAAAGGAGCGAAAACGUUGGGAAAUUCUCCUCCGACCCCACCGCCGCCCCCGGCUGCUGCUCCAGCUGAAGGAAGCACUUACAGAAAAGGAAUCCCCCCGCCCCCGACGUCCACUUGAACAAACAGAAGACCUCCCCACGCACUGACACUUGUCUCAAAUUUAUCUAUUUGAAUAGCACAGAGUCAGAGAGAGAGAGAGAUCUGCCAUCACUGGGUCACUCCCCAAGGGCGCUCCGCUGAGGCAGGCCAGAGCCAGGAGUUGGGAAGCCACUCUAGGCCCCCGUGCCAGUGUCCAGGACCAGAGCAGUGAAGCCGGCACUGCGCCUCCUGGGGUCUGCCUGAGCUGGCAGUGGGCACGCAGGCACUCGAUAGAGAAGCAGGGCGCCCCUCCCCUCAUGAUCUUCCUCCCUCUGCUUUUCUGUGACAAACAGAAUUAGUAAAAUGCAGAACAGACUCUCCUAUGAAGGGAGUGUUCAAAAGUCCAUGGAAAAAGCAUUUUAGGAAAAAAAAAUUAUGCAUGGAUUUCAAAAACAUUUACACCAAAAUCAAUUUAUCAAUUCCAUUUUCUGCCACCCAAGUAGCCUCCCCCCAAAAUCUGAUUAUUUGAUUCUUAGCUAUUCAAAGUCCAGAAAAUAACUGACUAGUCCAUCCGUGUUGCUAUUGUUAUAAUCUAAGUAUUAUGCUGUCUUUAAAUCAAUUUCGUGGAUAAAAACUGAAACAGAAGCUCAUCUGAAAAUUUUUAAGUCUACAGAGACACUGACGGGGUUGUACUCGUUCAACAUUAUUUUAUAGUCAUUUAUUACUUGUCUGAAUGAAUAGGUACUUGGCUGUAACCAAGCUCAAAAAAGACUGUAUCUACGUUUUAAGGAAAAACUUAUGAAAGCUUCAAGAAAAAUUUUCCAGAUUCCCACCUUGGGAGGAAAAAGUUGCUUUGCUUGGAAGCUAUUUCAAACAAGUAUUUUGUAGGAACUUCUGGCAAUCAGUAUGGUUAUUGACUAAGUAUUUUUAAAUGAAUGUUGUGUGGCUUUAAUCAAAUAAAUGAAAUGCACACGUAAAUUUACUCAUUAUCUCAUGCAUAAAUAAACACACAUACAUAAACAGAACUGUCACCUCUGCUGACGCUUUAUCACUAACACUCAGCUCACUGUCUGGGCUGACAGCCACUAGAGCUUCUGCCGGAGGCGUCCCGGCCACUCCAGGGCCACCUCUGCCUGUGGCCAAGAGGACACGGGACUGGAGUCUGCAGUCUGACACACGACAGACAGCAAGCAGAGCACUGGCUUUUAAGUCGUCUGAGAGACUCCACCAGAAGCAGCUGUGUUUUGUUGUUUGUUCAUUUUGCUUUGUUUUGAUUUUAGAAGUUCCUAUACUUUUUCUCUGUUAUUAUUUUUAAAAAUUGACACAUAAUAAGCAUACAUAUUUAUAGGGCAAAUUGUGAUAUUUUAAUGCAUGUAUUGAGAUAUGUAAUGAGCAGAUCAGGGCAAUUAUUGUAUAUAUCAUCUCAUUCAUCAUUUCUAUGUAUUAGGAAACUUCAAAAUCCUUUGGCUAUUUUGAAACAUAGAAUAAGUUAUUUUUAAUUAUACUCACCCUGCAGUGUUAUAUAGAACACCAGUACUUAUAUCCCUUAUCUGUUUUUUACCUAAUGCUAACCUCUAUUCCCCCCUCCCUCCACUGCUUCAUUCUUUUGUCUACUUGUAUGAAAUCGUGGGUUUUUUAACCUUCCAUGUAUGAUAGAGAACAUGCCAUGUUUAUCUUUCUAUGCCUGACUUUUUUCACUCAGCAUUGCGUCAUCAAGUCCCAUCCAUAUUGUCCCAAAAGACAGGAUUCUAGUCUUUCUUUCUCCUGCCUGCCUCCCUCCCUUCCUUCUCUCCCUUCCUCUCUCUCUCUGUCUCCUUCCAGUUCUCUAGCACUCGCUCCCUCUGAAAGAAGGGGAGAGAGAGAGAGUACCUGCUCCGGUCCAGACAUCAGGUUCACACCCUGCAGGCCUGCCACAGUCAGGAGGCUGAAGCUGGGAGCUAGACAUUCCACCCAGGUCCCUCCACAGGCGGCAGAAGCCAGCCAACUUGAAGCCGCAGGACUGCCUCCCAGGAUCUGCAGUAGCAAGACACUGGAAUCAGGAUAAUGGAGCUGGGAAUUGAAUCCAGGCACUUCGAUACAGCAUGCAGGCAGCCAGCAAGAUACCUACCCCCAUUCUUUUUACCGUGAAAUACUAUUCCACUACUCUAUUUUAUAUAUAUAUAUAUAUGGUACUUUAUAUAUAAGCAUGUGUAUAUGUCACAUAGAACAUGUGCGUGUGAUGUUGUCUUUAUCCAUUCCUCUGUUCGUGGACACCUCAGUUGAUUUCAUAUCUUGGCUGUCGUGAGCAGUGCUGGGAUACACAUAACAAUGCAGGUAUCGCUGAUAUCCUGAUUUCAUUCCCUUUGGAUGUGUACCCCACGGUGGGAUAGCUGAAUCAUGUGGUAGCUCUAUUUUAGUAUUUUAGGGAAAUUCCAGUGUGCUCCAUAGUGGCCGUACAAGUUUUCAGUCCCACUAACAGUGUGUGACCAUUCUCCUUUCUCUGCAUCCUGGCCAGCAUUUGUUUGUUUUUGUCUUUUUGAUAAUAGCUCUUCCAACUCCUUGUGAUUUUGAUUUGCAUUUCUCUGAUGAUUAGUGAUGCUGAGAACUUUUUUACUAUACUGUUGGUGGUUAUUUAUGUAUCUUCUUCUGAGAAAUGUCUGUACAUAUCACUUGCCCAUUUUUGAUCAGAUUUUUUAUUGCUAAAUUUUUUUGUUUUCUUAUAUAUUCUGGAUAUUAGUCCCUUGUUGAAUGAAUGGUUAGCAAAUAUUUUCUCACGUUCUAUAGAUUGUCUUUGUCCUCUGUUGAUUGUUUUCUUGGCUGUGUAGAAGCUUCUGAGUUUGAUAUAAUUCCAUUUAUCUACUUUUGCUUUAGUUUUCUGUGCUUUUGAGGUUUUAUCCAAAAAUUCAUUGCCUGUACUCAUGUCUUGCAGUGUUUCUAUGUUCUGUUCUAGGAGAUUCAUGGUUUCGGGUCUUUUAUCCAUUUCUAGUUGAUUUUUUAUACUGCAAGAAGAUAAAAGUCCGAUAUUUUUCUUCUGCAGGAUCGUUCAUCGAAGUGACUGUCCUUUCUCCAAUGAUUCUGAUGCUUUGUUGAAGAUCAGUUGGCUGUAGAGGCAUAGAUCUGUUUCUUGUUUUUCUACUGUGUUCCGUUGGCCUAUGUCACUUUUUUUCCAGUGCCAUUCUGUUCUUGUUACUCUAGCUUUAUAAUCUAUUUUCAAAUCAUUUAUCUUGAUGCCUCCAGCCUUGUACUUUUUGCUAUUUGGGAUCUUUUGUAGCUCUAUAUGAAUUUUAUAAUUUUUUCUACUUCUUUGAAGAAUGUCAUUAGCAUUUCAAUGAGCAUUACGUUGAAUGUGUGGAUUGUGUUGGGUAGUAUAGAAAUUGCAACAGUUUUAGUUCUUUCAAUCCAUGAACAUGGGUGUCUUUUCAUUUUGUGUGUCCUCUUUAAUUUCUCUUGCCAGAAUUUUGUAAUUUUCAUUGUAGCCAUCAUUCUCUUCCUGGGUUAAAUUUAUUCCUAGCUAUUUUUGUAUGUGAGUGAACUAUUGUAAGUGAGAUUCCUUUCUUGUUGUAUUCCUCUGCAUCUUCAUUAUUGGUGCAUAAAAAUGCUGAGUUUUGUAUGUUGAUUUUGUAUCCUGUGACAUUACUGAAGUCAUUUAUCAGUUUUAACAGGUUCAUUUUUUUCCUUUUUGUGCAUCUGGAUUUGUCUACAGAUUACAAUAUGUCAUGUACAAACAGGAAUAAUCCAACAUCCUGCUUUCCUAUUUGGAUGACCUUUAUUUUCUUCUCUUAUCUAACUUAUCUGGCUAAGACUCUCAUUACUAUGUUCAGUGAGAGUGGUGAACGUGGAAAUCCUGUCUUGUUGCAGUUCUUAGAGGAAACACUUCCAGCUUUUCUCCAUUCAGUAUGAUUUUAGCUGUAGUUUUGUCACAUGUCGUUUUCAUUGUGUAGAGGUAAGUUCCUUCUACACCUGAUUUAUUGAGGAUUUUGUAAUGAUGCUUUUUCUUUUUAUGUUGAGAUGGUCAUAUGGAUUUUUGGUCUUCAUCCUGUUGUUGUGUGUGUUAUGUUUGUUGAUUUGUAGAUAUUGUCCAUCCUUUAUCCUUGAGGUAAAUCUCAGUUCAUCACGGUGUGUGAUCUUUGUGAUGUGCUGUUGACUUUUAUUAGAAUUCUGCUGAGCAUUUUUGCAUCAACAAAAUUUGCUGUUUCCUUUCUCCCUCUUUCUCUAUUUUUUUGGGGGGAGGUUUCUAUCACAGUAAUGUUGGCCUCAUGAAAUUAGUUUGGAAGACCUCUUUUCAAUUUCUUGAAAUCAUUUGAAAAUGAUUGGUGUCAGUUUUUCUUCAAAAGUUUCUGGGUUUUUCUUUGUUGGGGGACUUUAUUACUGAUUUUUUCAUUACUGGUCUGGUCAGAUUUUGUAUCUCUUAAUGAUUCAAUGUUGGUAAGUUACAUUUGUCCAGAAAUUUGUCCAUUUCUUCUGCACUUUUAAAUUUGUUGGUGAGUAGUUGUUGAUAAUAAACCUUAAUGAUGCUUUCAGUGGUUAUUUUUUGUAAUGUCACCUUCUUCAUUUCUGAUUUUAUUUCUUUGGACUGUCUCGCUUUUUUCUUGGUUAGUCUAGCUUAUUUUGUUGAUGUUUGUUUUUCAGAAAUACAGCUCUUUAUUUCAUUAAUUUUUGUUGAAAUUUCUAUUUCAUUGAUCAAAGAUUUCUGAUCUUUGUUAUUUCUUUCCUUCUACUAAUGUUGGUGUUGGUUUAUUUCUAUUUUUCCAGUUCCUUUUGUUAUAUCAUUGGCCAUUUACUUGAAAUACCUCUCUCUCUCUCUCUCUCCCUCUCUCUCUCUCUCGUUUAUGUCAACACUUAGGGUUUUAAGUGUCCCUAGUAUUGCUUUAGCUGUAUCUCAUAGAUUUUGGCAUGUUGUGCUUUUAUUUUCACUUGUUUCAAGAAAUAUUUUUAAUUGCUCUUUUGAUUUCUUCUUUGACUCAUUGGUCAUUCAAGAACAUGUUGUAUAAUUUCCAUGUAUUUGUGCAAUUUCUAGGCUUACUCUUGUUGAUUUCUAGCUGUCAGAGAAGAAACCUGCUAUGACUUUGAGUUUUAUUUUAAAUUUGUUCAGUCUUUUUUUGUGGCUUAAUAUAUGGCCAGUCAUAGAGAAUGUCCCAUGUGCUGAUGAGAAGAAUGUAUAUUCUGCAGCAGUUGUAUGAAUGGUCUAUAAAUGUCUUUUAGGUCCAUUUGCUCUGUAGUAGAGUUUAACUGUGAUGUUUCCUUGUUGAUUUUUUUGGUCUGGAUUACCUAUUGAUGAAAAUGUGGUGCUGAAGUCUCCAACUAUUAUUGUAUGUAAUCUCUCUCUCCCUUUGGAUCUAAUAGUGCUUGCUUUGUAGAACUGGGUGCUCCAGCGUAUAUUUACAAUUGCUAUUUCUUCUUGUUGAAUUCUUUUAUCAUUACAUAGUGACCCUCUGUCUCUUUUUGGAGUUUUUCACUUGAAGUCUAUUUUAUCUUAUGUAAGCAUAGCUAUUCCUCCUCACUUUUGGUUUCCAGUUGUAUGAAGUAUUUUCUUCCAUACCUUCACUUUGAGUCUAUGUGUAUCUUUAUCAUGAAGUGAAUUUCUUGAAGCCAGCAUAUUGUUAGGUCUUGAUUUAUUUUAUUCAUUAAUCUAUUAUAAAUAUUUCAAUUGGAGAUUUUAAUCCAUUUACACUCAAAGUUAUUGAUAUUUAAAGACUCAAUUCUGUCAAUUUGUUUAAUUAUUUUGAUUGUUUUGCAUAUUCUUUUUUGUUAAGAUUUAUUUACUUAUUUGAAAUUCAGCAUUACAGUGAGACAGAGGCAGAGAGAGAGAGAGAGAGAGAGAGAGAGAGAGAGAGAGAGGUUUUCUCUCUGCUGGUUCACUCCUCAAAUGGCCACAAUGGCCAGAGCUGGGCCUAUCAGAAACCAGGAGCCAGGAGCAUCUUCCAGGUCUUCCAUGCAGGUGCAGGGCCAUCUUCUACUGCUUUUUCAGACCAUUGCUGAGAGCUGGAUCGGAAGAGGAGCAGCCGGGACUCAAACCAGCACCCAUAUGAGAUGCCAGCACUGCAGAAGGCAGCUUUACCUGCUACGCCACAGCGCCAGCCCCUGCACAUGCUUUGUACCUUUAUUAUGCUAUUGUUGUUUGGUGGUUUUCUGAGGGACGAGGUCUGAUGUUUCUUCUCUUUUGUGUACCUGUCUCCUGGUGAGUCUCGUACUUGCCUGUGCUCUCACAGGGGCAGUACUCUCCUUUCACUUCCAUCUCCCCUCGGUGCUUCCUGCAGGGCCUGCCUCACAGUGCUAAAUCCUGGGCUUUCCUGUUUUGGCAAAGGCUUGCUUUCGCCAUCAUUUCCAGGGUAGCUUUGCUGGAUAUUGUAUGCUUGCUUGGCAUAAAAACGCUUUCCCUGACUACAAAUACAGCCCUGCUAGUUGUAAACCUUUAACAAUGUAGAAGGUUAUCCAGGAAAGCGAAACUAACAUGAAAAACGUUUUAACCGAUAAAAUUAAAAAGCACGUUUUGAUUAUAUUAUGUGCUGUCUUCACAUACACUUCUUCUUAUACACUACUUCUUAUACACUACUGAUAGUGCCAGAAACCAAAGGAAGCUUUCUGCAAGACAAUUUAAUAACAGACAUCAACGAUUUGGGAUUGCAUGUGCCUUUGGACUAUAAUUUCACUUCUGAGAAUUUAUUUUGUGUGAAUAAUCAUGAAAGACAAAUAUAUAUAGCAAUUUUCUUAUUUCAAAUGAAAAAAUUGAGAUGGAAGAAUUUUUAUUUUAUUAUUAGUGUUACUAUUUUAUCUUUUUUGUUUAGCUAUUUCUAUAAUAAACAUGAAUUUGUUAUGUAAUAAGACAUUAACGAUAAACUUUGUUAAAAAAAAUUUGUAGUCAGUGAAUUCCUUGGCAUCUACUGAUCGAUAGGAAGGAACUUCAUGGAAACUCUCCUACUGUCAAAGACAUGCCCGGGUCCAAGGAUGUAGGGAAAUCUACGUGCAAACACUCUCAGGAUGGUGCCUUAGAGCCAGUUUUGUGCAGGUUAAGCUGCCCCUCACUGGUUCAAGUCCCGGCUGAUCUGCUUUUGAUCUAGUUGCCUACUAAUGCACCUGGGAAAGAAGUGGAGGAUGGCCCAAGUGCUUGGGACCUGUGUGGGACACCAGGAUGGAGUUACAGGCUACUGACUUCGGCCUAGACCAGCCCUGGCCAUUGUAGACACUGGAUGAGUGAACCCGCAGAUGGAAGAUCUCUCUCUGUUCCUGUCCCUUUCUCUCUCUCUCUCUCUCUCUGUCACUCUGCCUUUCAAAUAAAUGUAAUAAGUAUUUAAUAAAAAAAAGAUGGUGUCUCUCUUGACAUUUAAACAUGAAAAAUUUCACUGAAAUGAUCACACUUUGAAUAACAUACACAGCAUAUGUAUUUCUGAAAACAUUUCAUAGUUUCUCACUUGCUUUUAAUUGAGUUAGUUAUUGAUUUUUAAAAAAUAUUUAUUUAUUUAUUUGAAAGAAUUACACACAGAGAGAAGGAGAGGGAGACAGAGAGAGAGAGAGAGAGAGAGAGAGAGAGAGGUCUUCCAUCUGCUGGUUCACUCCCCAACUGGCCACAAUUGGGCCAGAGCUGCGUUGAUCUGAAUCCAGGAGCCAGGAGCUUCCUCUGGGUCUUCCCACAUGGGUGCAGGAGCCCAAGCACUUGGGCCAGCCUCCAUUGCCUUCCCAGGCCAUAGCAGAGAGCUGGAUCGAAAGUGGAGCAGCUGUGUCUCCAACUGGCACUCAUAUGGGAUGCCGGCACUGCAGGCAGUAGCUUUACCCGCUACGCCACAGCGCCAGCCCCUAUUUAUUGAUUUCAAAGGCAGAAUUACCAAGAGAAAAAUAGGGAGAUCUUCCAUUCACUGGUUCACUCCCUAAAUGGCUGCAACAGCCAGGCUUAGGCCAGCCGGAAACCAGGAGCGUCAUCCAGAUCUCCCACGUGCGGGUCAUCCGCUGCUGCCUUCCCAGGCCCAUUAGCAGGGAGCUGGAUCAGAAGCAGCUUAAUCUGCUAGGCCAUAAACCCAGCCUCUUCCAUUGGCUUUUUUAAGUAUUCUAGGGAUAGCUGUCUGGCCUACUAAUUAAGAUGCUAGUUGGGAUGUCUGCAUACCAUCUCAGAGUGUCCGGAAUUCAGCCACACCAACUCCAGCCCCUGCUAAUGUGUGCCCUGAGAAGCAGCAGGUGACGGCUUCGUAGUUAGGUCCUUGCCACCCAGAUGGCAGAUAAGGAUUGAUUUCCCAACUCCUGAUUUUGGCUUGGGCCAGCCCCAGCUGACGCAGGCAUUCGGGGAAUGAACCAGCAAUUGGGAGCUCUGUGUGUGUGUGUCUGCCUCUCAAAUAAGUUAAAAAUAAAUAAAACGUAAUUAAGUGCACUCAAAACGCAGGCAACAUUAGCAUUCCCACUCUGUCGACAUGGAGACCUCCUCUUUUAUUUAGCCUCUCUUUUUUCCUAGUACAACUUCAUUACCAAAGUAUUGCACAACAUCAUCUUUUCUCACACCAGAACUGAAAUGAGUUUGUAUUAUAACAGCAAGGAAAUAAAUGGAAAUAUCUGUAUGAAGUCUUAACUCAGAACUGACAUAUUAAAACUGACAGUUUUGCAUUAUCUCUUCUCACAAAGUUUUAUCUCGUGGUACAAUUUUUGGUUCUCAAACAAUGUCAAAUAUUUGGUCCUUGAAACCUUUGCCCAACUCAUUGCAGAGCUGGAGACUCCUGUCUGUUUGAGAACGUUUACACAUCGUCUCAAACACGAUAAGCAGAGACAGGCCAGUGCCCAGCUGUUGCCACACAGGCUCUCGGAGUGGCUGCUCCACACCAUAGCAUUUCUGCAGCCUACAACCGGCAUCGCCCUAGCCCGAGACAAGAUUCACAGCUGAGCGCAAACCCAAGCUGACUGCAAACGUUUACUGGCCAAACACCGAAUUCAAAACUCCCCUGGCCUGUCUCUGUGUUUUCUGACAGUGGACACAUGUACAAACUUGUCGGAAAAGGGUUGCUUUGUAAACAAGGGAGAAACUAUCCAACAAGUUUUCCCACACUGAAAUGAUCACUUUAUCUCGUCCAUACAAACAGCCUACCCGUUCAGUGGGGAAAAAAGAAAAACACACAUUUUCUUUUCAAAUGUUUUCAUG